RNAcentral lists this transfer RNA (73 nucleotides) under Candidatus Pacearchaeota archaeon ex4484_71. Its description in RNAcentral is "tRNA-Pro". It matches the Rfam family "tRNA". From Rfam's summary of the family: Transfer RNA (tRNA) molecules are approximately 80 nucleotides in length. Their secondary structure includes four short double-helical elements and three loops (D, anti-codon, and T loops). Further hydrogen bonds mediate the characteristic L-shaped molecular structure. tRNAs have two regions of fundamental functional importance: the anti-codon, which is responsible for specific mRNA codon recognition, and the 3' end, to which the tRNAs corresponding amino acid is attached (by aminoacyl-tRNA synthetases). tRNAs cope with the degeneracy of the genetic code in two manners: having more than one tRNA (with a specific anti-codon) for a particular amino acid; and 'wobble' base-pairing, i.e. permitting non-standard base-pairing at the 3rd anti-codon position. Lineage: Archaea; Nanobdellati. RNAcentral also lists the same sequence under 2 other names. The record is from RNAcentral.
GGGGCUAUGGGGUAGCCUGGUAGCCUACGAGGUUUGGGACUUCGUGACCCCGGUUCAAAUCCGGGUAGCCCCA